GUGGGGAAUUUUCCGCAAUGGGCGAAAGCCUGACGGAGCAAUCUCGCGUGAGGGAUGACGGCCUAUGGGUUGUAAACCUCUUUUUUCAGGGAGGAAUAAAAUGACGUGUACCUGAAGAAUAAGCAUCGGCUAACUCCGUGCCAGCAGCCGCGGUAAGACGGAGGAUGCAAGUGUUAUCCGGAAUCACUGGGCGUAAAGCGUCUGUAGGUGGUUUAAUAAGUCAACUGUUAAAUCUUGAGGCUCAACCUCAAAAUCGCAGUCGAAACUAUUAGGCUAGAGUAUAGUAGGGGUAAAGGGAAUUUCCAGUGGAGCGGUGAAAUGCGUAGAGAUUGGAAAGAACACCGAUGGCGAAGGCACUUUACUGGGCUAUUACUAACACUCAGAGACGAAAGCUAGGGUAGCAAAUGGGAUUAGAUACCCCUGUAGUCC
Molecule: ribosomal RNA, 429 nt
Filed under: uncultured bacterium
Lineage: Bacteria
Description: bacterial SSU rRNA
Rfam family: Bacterial small subunit ribosomal RNA
Source: RNAcentral